AGGAUAAAACGCUGGCGGCGUGCCUAACACAUGCAAGUCGAACGUCCUUUCCCGCAAGGGGAAGGGAGUGGCGGACGGGUGAGUAUCACGUGGGUUAUCUGCCUUUAGGUGAGGAAUACCGGCGAGAAAUCGCCGACAAUACCGCAUAUCUUUCGCAAGAAAGAAAGCCUCGUAAGAGGUGCCUGAGGAGGAGCCUGCGCCCGAUUAGUUGGUUGGUGGGGUAAUGGCCUACCAAGACGACGAUCGGUAGCUGGUCUGAGAGGAUGAUCAGCCACACUGGGAUUGAGAACGGCCCAGACUCCUACGGGAGGCAGCAGUGAGGAAUUUUCCGCAAUGGGCGCAAGCCUGACGGAGCAAUGCCGCGUGAAGGAAGAAGGCCCGUGGGUUGUAAACUUCUUUUCUUAGAGAAGAAUCCGAGAGGAGGACGGUAUUUGAGGAAUAAGCAUCGGCUAACCCUGUGCCAGCAGCCGC
This 471-nucleotide ribosomal RNA is filed under the name uncultured bacterium. RNAcentral describes it as "SSU rRNA". It matches the Rfam family "Bacterial small subunit ribosomal RNA", at positions 32 to 518 of the family's 1533-position model. The record is from RNAcentral.